RNAcentral lists this ribosomal RNA (253 nucleotides) under uncultured bacterium. Its description in RNAcentral is "partial 16S ribosomal RNA". It matches the Rfam family "Bacterial small subunit ribosomal RNA", at positions 524 to 776 of the family's 1533-position model. The record is from RNAcentral.
UACGUAGGCAGCGAGCGUUGUUCGGAGUUACUGGGCGUAAAGGGUGUGUAGGCGGUUUUCUAAGUUUGGCGUGAAAUCUCCCGGCUCAACCGGGAGGGUGCGCCGAAAACUGGGAGACUAGAGUGCGGGAUGGGAGAGUAGAAUUCCUGGUGUAGCGGUGAAAUGCGUAGAUAUCAGGAGGAAUACCGGUGGUGUAGCCGGCUCUCUGGACCGCCACUGACGCUGAGACACGAAAGCGUGGGUAGCAAACAGG